UAGUGAUAUGCUUGUCUCAAGGGUUAAGCCAUGCAUGUGUCUGUGCAAGCGUCUGCAUCGCAUGACUGUAGAUGGCUCACUACACCGGUUGCAAAUUUGGCAACACACUUGACCAAGUGGCUAACUGUAGAAACGCUGGGGCUAACACAAGAGAUUCUUCUGACUUCUUGGAAGGUUUUGGCCCAUCUGACAGAGAAUUGGCCCACUGAUGUUGUGGAUGGUAGUGGAGACUUGGUGUGCAUGAUACUUGUAUGGAUGAAGUGACCAAUGGAUUGUUCAAGCUUCUGACCUAUCAGCUCCUGAUGCUAGGGUAGUGGCCUACUGUGGCAAUGACGGGUAACGGAGGAUUGGGGUUUGAUUCCGGAGAGGGAGCCUGGCAAAUGGCUACCACAUCCAAGGAAGGCAGCAGGCACGCAAAUUGCCCAGCGCUGAUGCAGUGAGGCAGCGACAAGAAAUAGCGAUGUGGGGCAAAUGUGUCCUGUCAUUGAAAUGAGCAUUGUCUAACUCUUGGUGCGAGGAUCAAUUGGAGGGCAAGUCUGGUGCCAGCAGCCGCGGUAAUUCCAGCUUCACCAGUGUAUAUUAAAGCUGUUGUGGUUGAAAAGUUCGUAGUUGGUUUUCUGUUGAGGACAACCAGUCUGCCCAUUGGGUCUGUAUUUGGUUUGUUCUAUGCAUCUCCUUGGUGAAGUUUGCUGUGCUUGACUGUGCGGUGUCUUUUCCAGGCCAAUAACUUUGAGGAAAUUGGAGUGUCCCAAGUAAGCUUUGCUGUUGAACACACGUGCAUGGAAUGGAGUACAAUGAAUGUGCUUGAACUUGCCAGUCCAGAGAGGACGUGAGUCUCAAGAGGGUUAGUUGGGGAUAUCUGAAUUUGGCAGUCAGAGGUGAAAUUCUUGAAUUUGUCAAAGGCAAGCGCUUGCGAAAGCAUUUGUCCAGAAUGCCUGUGUUGAUCAAGAACAACAGUUAGGGGAUCGAAGAUGAUCAGAUACCGUCCUAGUCUUAACCGUAAACGAUGCCAACUGGGAAUUGGAGGCUGUUGUCUACUUGACUCCUUCGGCAUCCUAUGAUACAUCAAAGUCUUUGGGUUCCAGGGGGAGUAUGGUUGCAAGGCCGAAACUUAAAGGAAUUGACGGAAGGGCACCACCAGGAGUGGAGCCUGCGGCUUAAUUUGACUCAACACGUGAAAACUCACCAGGUCCAGACAUUGCUUGGAUUGACAGAUUGAUAGUUCUUUCGUGAUUCUGUGGGUGGUGGUGCAUGGCUGUUCUUAGUUGGUGGAGUGAUUUGUCAGGUUAAUUCCGUUAACGAACGAGACCUCAACUGGCUAAUUGCCUCUUGCAACAAAUGCGUUGCACCAGGGGCCUCUUACAAGGACUCCGUGUGUCCAACGUGGGGAGGCUUGCGGCAAUAACAGGUCUGUGAUGCCCUUAGAUGAUUUGGGCUGCACGCGCGCUACACUGACCCUAACAAUGAGCAACUGUCUGGCCUGAGAUGGCUGGGUAGCCUUUUCAACCCAUGUCAUGAUUGGGCUAGAUUUUUGUAAGUCUUGAUCCCUAACGAGGAAUCCCUAGUAUGCGUGAAUCAUCAAUCCAUGCAGAUUAUGUCCCUGCCCUUUGUACACACCGCCCGUCGCUCCUACUGAUUGGGUGAUCCGGUGAGCUGUUCGGCCAUAGCAAUGUUUCUUGAGCAGGGCAAUGAAUGUUUCGCAAACCUUGCCACUUAGAGGAAGGAGAAGUCGUAACAAGGUUUCUGUAG
This 1749-nucleotide ribosomal RNA is filed under the name uncultured eukaryote. RNAcentral's name for it is "SSU rRNA". It matches the Rfam family "Eukaryotic small subunit ribosomal RNA". The record is from RNAcentral.